Molecule: ribosomal RNA, 643 nt
Filed under: uncultured organism
Description: bacterial SSU rRNA
Rfam family: Bacterial small subunit ribosomal RNA
Source: RNAcentral
UUGAUCCUGGCUCAGGAUGAACGCUAGCGGCAGGCUUAACACAUGCAUGUCGAGGGGUAACGAUCCCGCUUCGGUGGGAGGCGACGACCGGCAAAUGGGUGAGUAAUACAUAUGCAACUUGCCCGUAGCUGGAGGAUAGCUUCCGGAAACGGAAAUUAAUACUCCAUAAUAUCCUAAUAUCGCAUGUUAUAAGGAUUAAAGUUUCGACGGCUACGGAUGGGCAUAUGUCCCAUUAGCUUGUUGGUGAGGUAACGGCUCACCAAGGCUACGAUGGGUAGGGGGCCUGAGAGGGUGAUCCCCCACACUGGUACUGAGACACGGACCAGACUCCUACGGGAGGCAGCAGUGAGGAAUAUUGGUCAAUGGGCGAAAGCCUGAACCAGCCAUGCCGCGUGCAGGAUGACUGUCCUAUGGAUUGUAAACUGCUUUUCUGCAGGAAGAAACGCUUCUACGUGCAGAGGUUUGACGGUACUGCAGGAAUAAGCAUCGGCUAACUCCGUGCCAGCAGACGCGGUAAUACGGAGGAUGCAAGCGUAAUCCGGAUUCAUUGGGUUUAAAGGGUGCGUAGGCGGAUUGGUAAGUCAAAGGUGAAAGUCUGUAGCUUAACUAUAGAAGUGCCUUUGAUACUGGUAGUCUUGAGUAC